AUUCUCCAUAGCUAAUGAAAAUAUUGCACCCAUAACAAAAAUAAAAACAAAAAUAAAAACAAAAGCGAGCAAUAUCUUCCCAAUAUACCACAAACUAAUCGGUUUUGACGACCUAUCCUUCAUAUGAUGUGAGGCAUUGGAAAUCUGCAAAUUGACAACGAACACAUGAAGAGUAUGUAAGCUAAUAAUGCUCAUAAAAUUGGCAGUGCCAAACCUUUUUUAUAUUUACGUCUUUCCAACUUUUCAAUAUCAAUCAUUCACAAGGCCGGCACUCUAUGGAAUAACAAGACUACAAAGAUUAUGAUAAAAAUGGAUUCAAUUUGGACAAUUUAUCAGUGUUUUUCCAGAAAAAGAAAAAAAAAACAGAAUGAGAACACAGCCAAACAAACCCUCAGGUAUAAUUUUCAUUCUCUCCCCCCAACCCUCAGGUAGAUUCUAUAAUAAUACCCCAUUUGGUUCCAAUGGAAUAAUUGCUCUUGGUCAAUGUUCCAAGUUUCUAACAUUCAAAAUUCCAUUCCCAUUUAAUUAUUCCAAAAUUAUUCUGUUAAUUUUAUCUCAAUAUACUUCUAAUUUAAUCGAAUCUUCUUUGCUUUUCAAAAGUUUUAGUUGGAAACUACUAAUUUGUAUUUUGAUUUUUGUUCUUGGAUUAUAAAUCAGAUUUGUAACUGCAAGGAAUAUGGCAAUUGACAAUAUCUCUUCAUUUAGCAAGAUUGAGGGAAGUUAAUAAUAAUAAGAAAACCGAAGCCUAAGAUGCAAAGAAAAAGUCUUGCCAAAUUUAUAUUUAUGCAAUUUAUAUCCUUCACUUCACUCGGAUGCAAUGUUCAAUAAUCAGUUUGAAGAAUGUCUAUCACACUUCGGUGCUGAAGGGCCAAUGAGACACAGAUUGACACAUCUGUUAAUGGAGCAUUUGGACAAAGAAGAAAAUUGAAUAAUACCAGUAGGGUUCACAUAGCAUUUAUUUAAAACGAGUCAAACCCAUUUUAGGCAGCUAUUAACAUCUUUACGAUGGGGGAACUUGGAAAUUCAUGAAAUGAUUUUGCUUCUUAGUUUCUUUACUGUGACGGUAUAAACUACAAUGCUGGUUAUUUAGGAUGGAAUUUCCUUCAAACAUUAUAGUCUUACAGAGAAUGCAUUGUUUAAUUAUUUUCAAAAAAAUUCGAGGAAUACACAAACACCCAGUGUUUAUAAUUGUAAAUCUGUGCUACAAUGAUUCUGAUUCAAGAUUUUGUCAACAUUUAAACUGAUUGGGCCAAUCUUUAUAUAUAUAUAUAUAUAAAAAUUUAAAAAA
Camellia sinensis is the source of this 1288-nucleotide non-coding RNA. The record is from RefSeq and is a predicted model, not a curated record. NCBI's taxonomy places the organism in Eukaryota, Viridiplantae, Streptophyta, Magnoliopsida, Ericales, Theaceae.